Molecule: ribosomal RNA, 541 nt
Filed under: Orthotylus sophoroides
Lineage: Eukaryota; Metazoa; Arthropoda; Insecta; Hemiptera; Miridae
Description: partial 16S ribosomal RNA
Rfam family: Archaeal large subunit ribosomal RNA
Source: RNAcentral
GUCGCCUGUUUUAUUCAAAAACAUGUUCUUUUGUUUAUAUAAAAGAUUUGACCUGCCCAAUGAUUAAAUAUUUAAUGGCUGCAGUAUUUUGACUGUACAAAGGUAGCAUAAUCAUUUGUCUUUUAAUUGAAGUCUAGAAUGAAUGGUUUGAUGAAAAACAUAUUUUCUUUAUUUUAUAAAUAAAACUUAAUUUUUUAGUUAAAAAGCUAAAAUUAUUUUAUAGGACGAGAAGACCCUAUAGAACUUUAUUUUUGAAUAAAUAUAUUUAAUAUAGAAAAUAUUUUAAGUAUAUUUAUAUUAAAUUUUGUUGGGGUGACAGAAAAAAAUUAAUAACUUUUUCUACUUUUUUCAUUAUAAAUGAAUUUUUGAUCCUUUUUUAAGGAAUAUAAGAUUAAGUUACCUUAGGGAUAACAGCGUUAUUAUUUUAGAGAGUUCUUAUCGAUAAAAUAGUUUGCGACCUCGAUGUUGGAUUAUAAAAAGAUAUAGGAGUAGAAUAUUAUAUUCUAGGUCUGUUCGACCUUUAAAUUUUUACGUGAUCUGA